Molecule: ribosomal RNA, 254 nt
Filed under: uncultured bacterium
Lineage: Bacteria
Description: partial 16S ribosomal RNA
Rfam family: Bacterial small subunit ribosomal RNA
Source: RNAcentral
UACGUAGGCAGCAAGCGUUGUUCGGAGUUACUGGGCGUAAAGGGUGUGUAGGCGGUUAUUUAAGUUUGGUGUGAAAUCUCCCGGCUCAACCGGGAGGGUGCGCCGAAUACUGAAUGACUUGGAGUGCGGGAGAGGAAAGUGGAAUUCCUGGUGUAGCGGUGAAAUGCGUAGAUAUCAGGAGGAACACCGGUGGUGUAGACGGCUUUCUGGACCGUAACUGACGCUGAGGCGCGAAAGCGUGGGGAGCAAACAGG